CCCUAGCCCAGAUUGCAGCAUUGUUUAAGCUCAUUUUUUUGAUUUCGGCGCGGCAGCGAAGCUACCGCGCCGAAAUCAAAAAAAUAGCGAGUGCGGAAAGCUGGAUAAAGC
Molecule: unclassified non-coding RNA, 111 nt
Filed under: Chryseobacterium arachidis
Lineage: Bacteria; Pseudomonadati; Bacteroidota; Flavobacteriia; Flavobacteriales; Weeksellaceae
Description: Flavo-1 RNA
Source: RNAcentral